AUUGAACGCUGGCGGCAUGCCUUACACAUGCAAGUCGAACGGCAGCGCGGGGCAACCUGGCGGCGAGUGGCGAACGGGUGAGUAAUAUAUCGGAACAUACCCUAGAGUGGGGGAUAACGUAGCGAAAGUUACGCUAAUACCGCAUACGCACUAAGGUGGAAAGUGGGGGAUUCGCAAGAACCUCAUGCUCAUGGAGUGGCCGAUAUCUGAUUAGCUAGUUGGUGAGGUAAAGGCUCACCAAGGCGACGAUCAGUAGCUGGUUUGAGAGAACGACCAGCCACACUGGAACUGAGACACGGUCCAGACUCCUACGGAGGCAGCAGUGGGGAAUUUUGGGACAAUGGGGCAACCCUGAUCCAGCAAUGCCGCGUGAGUGAAGAAGGCC
Molecule: ribosomal RNA, 385 nt
Filed under: uncultured bacterium
Lineage: Bacteria
Description: bacterial SSU rRNA
Rfam family: Bacterial small subunit ribosomal RNA
Source: RNAcentral